This is a non-coding RNA of Arachis ipaensis, 600 nucleotides long. Lineage: Eukaryota; Viridiplantae; Streptophyta; Magnoliopsida; Fabales; Fabaceae. The record is from RefSeq and is a predicted model, not a curated record.
CCACCGGUGUCGUCGCCGCCACUAUGGUUCGUGGUCGUCACUGCCGUUCGUGACGGACUAGGUUGCGUCCUAGCUUCCGGAGCCGCCAUCACCGUAACCUUGUUGCUUUGGGUCAACCAUGUCUCUGCCUCUGAUGUACCUUGUCGUGCCAUAUCCAUUGGAACUGCCGUGGUUGGGGCUUGUUAUUAGAGAAAGUAAUUUGCUGCCACCAUCUUUCAGUCUAGCCAGCAUCAUCAUCCUCUUUGUUCCAGUUCCAAUGCCAAUUUUCUGUUUCUUAAGCCAUUGUCAAUUUAUCUCCUGAGCAAUCACAAUUGGUGUUAAGGUCGUUGAUGUUGCUGCUGAUAUGCUAUAGCUAGUCGCAAGAGUUUUACUGCUGCGGGAUUACGUUGAAAUUGUCGCUGCUGCUGUGAAUUCAAAAUAAGCGGGCUUAUAGUGGUAAAUUUGUGCGAGUUCAGCUAAUCAAGCGACAGGUUUGAAGACACAAUUUGAAGCUGCGAGCGAUCAGUAGGCUUUCUUUAUGGUUUUAAUUGCUUUCAUGGAGUCCCCUCGCUAUUGUCCUUUGAGAUUUUAUUUUACAUAGAGGGGUAGGUUUAGUAUAUU